RNAcentral lists this ribosomal RNA (250 nucleotides) under uncultured bacterium. RNAcentral's name for it is "partial 16S ribosomal RNA". It matches the Rfam family "Bacterial small subunit ribosomal RNA", at positions 355 to 596 of the family's 1533-position model. The record is from RNAcentral.
GGGGGAAUAUUGGACAAUGGGGGGAACCCUGAUCCAGCAAUGCCGCGUGUGUGAAGAAGGCCUGAGGGUUGUAAAGCACUUUCGGUGGUGAGGAAGGGGCAUAGGUUAAGAGCUAAUGCCACUUGACGGUAGCCACAUAAGAAGCACCGGCUAACUCUGUGCCAGCAGCCGCGGUAAUACAGAGGGUGCGAGCGUUAAUCGGAAUUACUGGGCGUAAAGCGCACGUAGGUGGUUAGAUAAGUUAGAUGUG